Molecule: long non-coding RNA, 2332 nt
Organism: Notothenia coriiceps (black rockcod)
Lineage: Eukaryota; Metazoa; Chordata; Actinopteri; Perciformes; Nototheniidae
Exons: 4
Source: RefSeq, a predicted model, not a curated record
UCUGCACUUUAUUCUACUCAUUUCCUGACUAAAGGCUCACAGCUCUACGUCGACUUAAAGCCGUGAAAACAGCUCUCAAAGAUCAUGGCUUCAGUGGAGGUCGAAUACUGUAGCGGAUGAGGUUACUCAUACCGUUACGGGCAACUAGCCGAAGCAAUUCGGCAGGUUCCUGGAGUGAAGGAGGUGACCGGGAGGGUCGGGAGGCAGAACAGCUUUGAGAUUUCUGUGAACGGCCAGCUGAUCUACUCCAAGCUCAAGACGGGAAAAAUCCCUCCUCCGGAUGAGGUCGUGAAAUUGAUCAAGAAUGUCUUGAACAAAUGAGGACACCGUUAAAAGCUGGAGGUUAAAGCACUGCCUGUAUUCACACUGCAAGGUCAAUGGUUUGUUUUUUGAAUGGCUACUUUCUCUCACAACUGCUUAUUUGAGCACAAAAGGAAAUUCAAACAAGAAAACAAGACAAGAAAAACAAUCCUAAAAAUAUGAUUGGGAAAAAUUAAAACAAAGACAAAUGAGUUUUACCGUCAGCCAUCAGACCAUUUAUCUUCACUGUGAAUACAGGCAAGCGAUGAUAAGAGCAACUCUGAAGAUCUGGGCGCUGAUCUUUACUUCUUUUUAUGAAUGAACACAUGAAAAAAUAAUGCCGUGUGUUCACGAUGCAAGUCAAGAAGCUGUUCAGCUGCCUGGAGCCUGAGGAACUGCUCUCUUCAAAAACAUCACACGUACACUUACUCAGGAAUGGGAACAAAUGAAAUUGUUACUCAAACCACACAUGUUACCAAUAUAAAGGAAUAUUUUGACAUUUUUGGAAAUUUGCUCAUUUGCUUCCUUGCCAAGGGUUAGCCAAAUGAGACGAUUGCUACCACUUUUAUGUUUGAAUGUUAAUAUGAAGCUACGGCUAACGUUUGGUUAGCUUGUCUUAGCCUUAUGUCCCGAACCAAGGGGAUACAUCUAGCCUGGCUCCUGUCAAUCAAAGCGGCCUACCAGCACUUCUGAAGCUCACUAAUGAACAUCUGUUUUGUUUGAUCCAUGCAAAAACCAGAGUGUAAAAACAGCAAUUUGCUGUUUGAUGGUGGGGUUAUAUGCCGGACUGUUUCAUUGCCUGGCCCCCUAGCAGAGACUUACGGGUCCAGGCAAUGAAACAGUCCGGCACACAACAUCGUGAAAUAGUGAAUUGUCAUUUCUACACUUUUGGUUUUUGUGUGGAUCAAACAAGGCAUAAUGUAAGAUGUUUAGUUUUGUGAACUUUAGAGGUUCUGGUAGGCAGGUUUGUUAAGUCUGAACGGUCUGAACAGAGCCAGUCUAGAUGUCUCCCCCUGUUUCCUGUCUUUAUGCUAAGCUAAGCGAACCAGGUGCUAGUUGUAGCCAUAUUGUUAUUAAAGGAAUAGUUUGACAUUUUUGGAAAUAAGAUAAUUUGCUUUUUUGCCAAGAGUUGGCAAAUGAGACGACUGCUACCACUUUUAUGUUUGAAUGUUAAUAUGAAGCUACGGCUAACGUUUGGUUUAGCUUAUCUUAGCAUUAUGUCUGGAACCAUGGGGAUACAUCUAGCCUGGCUCCUGUCAAUCAAAGCUGCCUACCAGCACUUCUGAAGCUCACUAAUGAACAUCUGUUUUGUUUGAUCCAUGCAAAAACCAGAGUGUAAAAACAGCAAUUUGCUGUUUGAUGGUGGGGUUAAUGCGGAACUGUUUCAUGCCUGGCCCCCUAGCAGAGUAACGGGUCCAGGCAAUGAAACAGUCCGGCACACAACCUCGUAAAAUAGUGAAUUGUAAUUUCUACACUUUUGGUUUUUGUGUGGAUCAAACAAGGCACACAGUAAGAUGUUUAGUUUUGUGAACUUUAGAGGUUCUGGUAGGCAGGUUUGUUACGUCUGAACAGAGCCAGUCUAGAUGUUUCCCCCUGUUUCCUGUCUUUAUGCUAAGCUAAGCGAACCAGCUGCUAGUUGUAGCCAUAUUGUUACCAUUCAGAUACGAGUGGUCAUAAUCUUCUCAUUUAACUCUCGGCAAGAAUUUAUAAAUGCCAAACUAUUCUACCAUGUUUUGGUAGGUCAGACAUACAAUAUAUAUAUAUUUUUUUUUUGAUUAGAACUAAAUCUGAAAUCAUGAUGAAUACAAACUCUUCUCUUCAGAUCGAAUUUGCAAAAUAUGCCCUAGUACUAAAUCUGCUAUUUCUUGUUACUGUAGCAAUUGUAUUAGCGUAGCAAAAAUGACUUUGACUCGAACAUAUUUGAACUUUUGAAAACAACUUAAAGUAUUGUUAUGCUUUUGUAAUUUAAUUUGUAAUAAAUUCAAACCACGCUAAUUCUCUGAAAUGCAAUAAAGCAUCACUGAACAACCAA